RNAcentral lists this long non-coding RNA (273 nucleotides) under Capsicum annuum. Its description in RNAcentral is "long non-coding RNA (CANN_LNC005122)". The record is from RNAcentral. Lineage: Eukaryota; Viridiplantae; Streptophyta; Magnoliopsida; Solanales; Solanaceae.
GUUUUGAUAUUUCUGAAGUUUGUUCCUCCAUAGCUUUUUCCAUUGAAAUUAUCUGUUUUUUAAUUAACUGAGUAAAAUAUUUAUUGUGGAAUGGAGAGAGUAUUUGCUUCAACGCAUGAAGGCUUGCUUUGCAAUGCCUUCAGUUGCCUUCCUUUAUAGAACGAAAAAAAUCUUUACAAGCAUCUUUACAUAUUUUUUAAAUGUUAUCCUAUAACUCAAAAAGGCUACUAAAGGUUACCUAAACCUAAAAAGCCUAUACAUAGCCUUUAAAGG